This 558-nucleotide ribosomal RNA is filed under the name Alternaria sp. 15 SO-2015. RNAcentral's name for it is "eukaryotic LSU rRNA". Lineage: Eukaryota; Fungi; Ascomycota; Dothideomycetes; Pleosporales; Pleosporaceae. The record is from RNAcentral.
CAAGGUCUCCGUAGGUGAACCUGCGGAGGGAWCAUUACACAAAUAUGAAGGCGGGCUGGAACCUCUCGGGGUUACAGCCUUGCUGAAUUAUUCACCCUUGUCUUUUGCGUACUUCUUGUUUCCUUGGUGGGUUCGCCCACCACUAGGACAAACAUAAACCUUUUGUAAUUGCAAUCAGCGUCAGUAACAAAUUAAUAAUUACAACUUUCAACAACGGAUCUCUUGGUUCUGGCAUCGAUGAAGAACGCAGCGAAAUGCGAUAAGUAGUGUGAAUUGCAGAAUUCAGUGAAUCAUCGAAUCUUUGAACGCACAUUGCGCCCUUUGGUAUUCCAAAGGGCAUGCCUGUUCGAGCGUCAUUUGUACCCUCAAGCUUUGCUUGGUGUUGGGCGUCUUGUCUCUAGCUUUGCUGGAGACUCGCCUUAAAGUAAUUGGCAGCCGGCCUACUGGUUUCGGAGCGCAGCACAAGUCGCACUCUCUAUCAGCAAAGGUCUAGCAUCCAUUAAGCCUUUUUUUCAACUUUUGACCUCGGAUCAGGUAGGGAUACCCGCUGAACUUAAG